AUGCCGGAGUUAUCGCCGUCAUGCCGCCUGGGAGGCUGGGAUUCGCCGCGGGGGGGGGGGGGGGGGGGUCCGGCGGGAGAGCAAGCCGCUACCAGCUUCCAGAUAUUCCUCUGGUCGUUCGCAUGUACGCCGCCGCCGCGGCUUGCCCUUGAUUCCCCAUCCGCUCCUGCGAGUUCCUUCGCAUCUCCGCCAUCGACGCUCCACCGUGCUCGCCUCCCUCUCUACCACGCCACCUCGCCUUGCUCCUCGAUGACCUCUACAACACCAUUGCUCAUCCUACUGAGGAAG
This 288-nucleotide long non-coding RNA is filed under the name Oryza sativa Indica Group (long-grained rice). RNAcentral's name for it is "lncRNA OsLiXu_Ung0048600". The record is from RNAcentral. Lineage: Eukaryota; Viridiplantae; Streptophyta; Magnoliopsida; Poales; Poaceae.